GGCGACAGCCAGCACCCUCCGCGGUUCGUUCCUUCCUCAGUCGCUGCUCUGCUCGCCCCAGGCCCGCUGCCGGGUUCGUCCAGGCGCCCUGCCGCUGCGCUGCUGGCCACACAGAGCCCGCCCUUUCUGGACCCGGAGGCCCGAUUGCUCCAAAAGCACAGGAAACGCACGUCUUGACUUGCGAGUCUAGGUUCCCAUGGGAUGUCACAAGCCAGAGCCCCCUUCGCACCCCGGCCUCAGGAUCCAGCACCUUCGCAGAGGGGAGGCCCACUGCCGGCCAGAAGAGGGCACCAGACCUCAUUACAGAUGGUUGUGAGCCACCAUGUGGU
Long non-coding RNA from Microtus oregoni (creeping vole), 329 nucleotides. RefSeq lists it as uncharacterized. NCBI's taxonomy places the organism in Eukaryota, Metazoa, Chordata, Mammalia, Rodentia, Cricetidae. The transcript has 3 exons. The record is from RefSeq and is a predicted model, not a curated record.